GACGAACGCUGGCGGCGUGCCUAAUACAUGCAAGUUGAGCGCUGAAGGUUGGUACUUGUACCAACUGGAUGAGCAGCGAACGGGUGAGUAACGCGUGGGGAAUCUGCCUUUGAGCGGGGGACAACAUUUGGAAACGAAUGCUAAUACCGCAUAAAAACUUUAAACACAAGUUUUAAGUUUGAAAGAUGCAAUUGCAUCACUCAAAGAUGAUCCCGCGUUGUAUUAGCUAGUUGGUGAGGUAGAGGCUCACCAAGGCGAUGAUACAUAGCCGACCUGAGAGGGUGAUCGGCCACAUUGGGACUGAGACACGGCCCAAACUCCUACGGGAGGCAGCAGUAGGGAAUCUUCGGCAAUGGACGAAAGUCUGACCGAGCAACGCCGCGUGAGUGAGGAAGGUUUUCGGAUCGUAAAACUCUGUUGGUAGAGAAGAACGUUGGUGAGAGUGGAAAGCUCAUCAAGUGACGGUAACUACCCAGAAAGGGACGGCUAACUACGUG
Molecule: ribosomal RNA, 497 nt
Filed under: uncultured bacterium
Lineage: Bacteria
Description: partial 16S ribosomal RNA
Rfam family: Bacterial small subunit ribosomal RNA
Source: RNAcentral